AGAAAGAUGAUCUUGCACUGUUAAUGUAGGCAUAUCAAUCAACCAGAUUACAUGACAGGCCAGUGUUAAACAACACAUUUCUAGCCUUGAACAAUGAUAGAUCUAUUUGAAAACUGCCAGGAACGGUGCAGCUGUUUAAACUUUUUUCGCAACCUUUUCUCCACGUUACGCCCUCGCAAAUAGUCAAAAACGUUCUUAACAAAGCCUGCCGAAACACUUAAGUACAAGAGUGUUGUGCUUUCAAAGCAGUGAAUAAACUAAACGUUGGAAAAUUAAAAAAGAAACAGGGUAACCCAGUUCGAACGAGAGGACGUGGUGUUUGUUUAUCGUAACGGCACUUCUUCCGCGCUUGUAAAGGUGUCCGCAUGCUUCCCAGUCGAAACAGUUCGUGCAUAUAUUAUGUUUGUGGACUUCGUUGAGGGUUCUGGAGAUAAGCCGAAGUUCGGAGCCGAAGUCUACUGAUCAUUUUCCAUCAAUGGAUGUUUUUUUAUUUCUCCGUUAUUUUACCAGGUAAAUUGACUGAGAACAAGUUCUCAUUUACAACAACGAUGUGGGGAAUAGUUACAGGGGAGAGGUGGGGGAUGAAUGAGCCAAUUGUAAACUGGCGAUUAUUAGGUGACCAUGAUGGUUUGAGGGCCAGAUUGGGAAUUUAGCCAGGACACUAGGGUUAACACCCCUACGAUAAGUGCCAUGGGAUCUUUAAUUACCCUAGAGAGCCCCAUCCGAAAGACUGCACCCUACACAGGGCAGUGUCCCCAAUCACUGCCUUGGGGAUUGAGAUAUUUUUUAGACCAGAGGAAAGAGUGCCUCCUACUGGCCCUCCAACACCACUUCCAGCAGCAUCUGGUCUCCCAUCCAGGGACUGACCAGGACCAACCCUGCUUAGCUUCAGAAGCAAGUCACCACCAAGCAAGUGGCACUAUGAAGACUAAGGAGCUCUCCAAACAGGUACUGACAGGAGGCGUGACGAGGACGCUGAUCCAGUGGACCUGGUGCCAGUAAGGAUGGUCGUCACGGAGACGAUAAGACCGUCCAGGAUAGAGAAAUCCUUCGACUUCACUGCCUCUUCAAUGACGAUCCCACAGAUGAAGAAGCUGGAAGUGGAGGUCCUGGGCUGUCCUGGUUACACAUGGUCUGUGGAUGUGAGGCCAGUUGGAUGUACUGCCAAAUUAUCUUACAAAGUUGGAGGCGGCUUAUGGUUUCAUUGUCCCCCAGCACAAGGUGCACCUGUGUAAUGAUCAUGCCGUUUAAUCAGCUUGAUAUGCCACACCUGUCAGGUGGAUGGAUUAUAUUGGCAAAGGAGAAAUGCUCACCAACAGGGAUGUAGACAAAUUUGUACACAUUUUGUGCAUAUGGAACAUUUCUGGGAUUUAUUAUUUCAGCUCGUGAAACAUGGGACUAACACUUUACAUGUUGCCUUUUAUAUUUUUAUUCAGUAUAAAGUUAUUUGAUUGAUUAACAUUUCAGCUGUAAAAUAUUUAACAAGUGCAGUUGUUCCAUAAACGUUCAAUUGAUAACUUGGGAUUGUAUCACUUGACAUAUCUAUCAUCUUCACAGUGUGAAGGAUCCUAUAAAUCAAGACUGAUUGCAUGUGCCACUCUGAAUAAAUAAAUACUGUGACUUUGAA
Long non-coding RNA from Oncorhynchus tshawytscha (Chinook salmon), 1627 nucleotides. NCBI's taxonomy places the organism in Eukaryota, Metazoa, Chordata, Actinopteri, Salmoniformes, Salmonidae. The record is from Ensembl.